GCGGAUAUAGUUUAAUUAAGAUGGUGCGUUGUGGCUGCAUAGAUGGGUUUUUGCUCUGUUCGUA
Molecule: transfer RNA, 64 nt
Filed under: Solecurtus divaricatus (divaricate short razor)
Lineage: Eukaryota; Metazoa; Mollusca; Bivalvia; Cardiida; Solecurtidae
Description: tRNA-His
Source: RNAcentral